GGUGAACGCUGGCGGUAGGCCUAACACAUGCAAGUCGAACGGCAGCACAGUAAGAGCUUGCUCUUACGGGUGGCGAGUGGCGGACGGGUGAGGAAUACAUCGGAAUCUACUUUUUCGUGGGGGAUAACGUAGGGAAACUUACGCUAAUACCGCAUACGACCUACGGGUGAAAGCAGGGGAUCUUCGGACCUUGCGCGAUUGAAUGAGCCGAUGUCGGAUUAGCUAGUUGGCGGGGUAAAGGCCCACCAAGGCGACGAUCCGUAGCUGGUCUGAGAGGAUGAUCAGCCACACUGGAACUGAGACACGGUCCAGACUCCUACGGGAGGCAGCAGUGGGGAAUAUUGGACAAUGGGCGCAAGCCUGAUCCAGCCAUACCGCGUGGGUGAAGAAGGCCUUCGGGUUGUAAAGCCCUUUUGUUGGGAAAGAAAGGCAGCAGGUUAAUACCCCGCUGUUCUGACGGUACCCAAAGAAUAAGCACCGGCUAACUUCGUG
Molecule: ribosomal RNA, 492 nt
Filed under: uncultured bacterium
Lineage: Bacteria
Description: partial 16S ribosomal RNA
Rfam family: Bacterial small subunit ribosomal RNA
Source: RNAcentral